GCGUGUUCUCAGGGCGGGGCGAAAUUCCCCACCGGCGGUAAAGGGCGCAAGCCCCAAGCCCGCGAGCGGCCUCAUGGUUACCCAUGAGGUGUCAGCAGAUCUGGUGCAACUCCAGAGCCGACGGUCAUAGUCCGGAUGAAAGAGAACGUCA
Molecule: non-coding RNA, 151 nt
Filed under: Roseovarius albus
Lineage: Bacteria; Pseudomonadati; Pseudomonadota; Alphaproteobacteria; Rhodobacterales; Roseobacteraceae
Description: FMN sequence
Rfam family: FMN riboswitch aptamer (RFN element)
About the family: The RFN element is a highly conserved domain that is found frequently in the 5'-untranslated regions of prokaryotic mRNAs that encode for flavin mononucleotide (FMN) biosynthesis and transport proteins. This element is a metabolite-dependent riboswitch that directly binds FMN in the absence of proteins.
Source: Rfam by way of RNAcentral